GUUUUGCAGGCCGUCACCGGUCGGCUCCUCUUAAAUGCAUUAGCGGAACUCUAUGCAGUACCAGCCUCGGUUUGAUAAUCCUAUCUAUGCUGUCGCUGUUGGACUGUGCUGUUUGGCUUACAACCGUCUUCGGACUGUCGCUUUUGUGGCAUAACUUUAAGCUUGAUCUCAAAUCAGGUAGGACUACCCGCUGAACUUAA
This 200-nucleotide unclassified non-coding RNA is filed under the name soil metagenome. RNAcentral's name for it is "partial contains internal transcribed spacer 2 and large subunit ribosomal RNA". The record is from RNAcentral.